Molecule: long non-coding RNA, 1886 nt
Organism: Oncorhynchus tshawytscha (Chinook salmon)
Lineage: Eukaryota; Metazoa; Chordata; Actinopteri; Salmoniformes; Salmonidae
Exons: 5
Source: RefSeq, a predicted model, not a curated record
UACCGUCUAAAAUAAACCUUUAGCUCGAUGAUCUGUUAGACUGUAAAACAUCUGUAUGUAUGUAGGACUGAAGCGCUAAGGAAGAACUGAGAGAAGAACAGUAGAACAAGAAUGAGAAAGAAGAGACGAUGAUUCUGCUGGAGCUCUCUGUCAUGGGAAAGGCGAAGGCCAAUGCUGGGCUCCUGGCCCGGAGGCCUGACAACUCGGCUUUCAAACAUCAGAGACUGCCUCUCUGGUCCCCAAUGCUCACUGCUCACACCGUCCUGCCUUCCUUUUAUUGUAUGGCCACUAUACGUGUGAAACUGGGAGUGUGCCUACUUGCCACCGUGCAGAAUACACAUGAACUGAAGCUGCGUAAUCAAUCCCUUCAAAUGAAUCAAAUCUUUUUGCCUUUUUUCUCUACUUCCACCGUUUACACAUAAUCACUUGAAAUGGAGCAGGAAACACCCUCCACAAUGCAUAUCUUAUCUAACCAUGAACACAGAGGUAGAAAUAGACAAUGAGAUGAGUUUAAAGGUAUUCUGAGAAUGAGUGUACAGUAUAACAGGAGGAGUGGCGGUGGAGAACGAACAUGUAUCUAAAGUUCCAAUGGGUUUUAAUGUUUGCUAUCUAUUUCUGUCACUCCCUCUCUCACCAUCUCUUCUCCUCUCUCUCCACAGGUGGACUACACACACACAGGGUCAUGUGAUAAGUGUUUUGAGACCACAAGCUGUUGAAACAAAUCCAAGUGCUUUGAGAAGCACAGCGAUUAUGUUUCCUAUUUCCUGUCCCUGAGAGAUGUGUUCUUCUACUUUGGGCUGAUCAACUUCCACCAGAACAUACAUGGACUCCAGGGAUGAUAGACAGAUGGUCAGGAGAAAAUAAAAACCUGAAGCGCCUACUGUGAGCCCUUCAUAAAGGAAAAUAAUGGACUCCAUAUCGCCCCCUGCUGGGCCAUGGCCAACAGCAUGUUCAACGACUCCUUCACUCUGACGUACUACUCAGGAGAGGGGGGUCCAGUGGUCCAUGUUCAUCUGUUCAGGAAGGGCAUCCCCUGGUACACCGACAAGAACGUCAAGUUCCGCAACCCACCGGAUGAGAACAAGACACGAACGUUAGCACGUGAUUGAAGGCACGGCCCGGCCUCUGUACUGGUAGAAGCCCGUGUUUGACCUGGACCCCUGGGACCACAACAACGGCUUCAUCAACGAGGACUUGAUAGUGUGGAUGAGGGAGGCUGCCUUCCCCAACUUCAAGGAUCUCUACGGGGUCCCGAGCUAGGGAACCCUUCACUGAAGGGCUGCCGACUGGGAACUACUGCAUCCAUUAUUAGCCAUUAUUAUUCAUCUGCUUAUUAAUGCUUUAUUCUACCAGAUUGAUCAUUUUGAGAUUUAAAUCAAUUUAAUUAAAACGAUUUCCAAUUGGCAGAUUACUAUUUCCGACCUUGAGGCAGAUUGGGGUUAGCUAGUUUCUCAUUGGGUGGAAGUGAAACAGUAGGUUGUGGCUUGAAAUGUUGGAUUUGUUUAUUUGGUCAGUUAUAAAAACAAUGUGGGUCACAGCACACGAAGCCCCCCGUUAGACAGCAGUGGACUCCUUCUAGGGCAGAAAGGAAGUGGUACUGUCCACAGUCAGCUGGUUCGGGAGUCAGAACAACUGCCUGCCCGUAGCCUACCUGAUCACUGGCUGUCUCAUCCUGCUCCUCGCUGUUAUCCUCACCGCCAUUUGGUGGAAGUUUGGUAAGAACAGACGGAAUAUGGAGGAGUGAUGUAAAAGGACCAAUGUGAAAAGGGUUGAGGAAGAAAAUAAAUAUUGAGUGAAUCAUGAGAAAGAGAAGUCUGAUAUUUCAUUCUAAAUACGGUGAAUGUGACCAAUUGAAAUGUAUUAAAUAAAAAACCAUACCUUAUUUA